This is a small nuclear RNA of Jaculus jaculus (lesser Egyptian jerboa), 107 nucleotides long. The record is from Ensembl. NCBI's taxonomy places the organism in Eukaryota, Metazoa, Chordata, Mammalia, Rodentia, Dipodidae.
GAGCUCGCUUCGGCAGCACAUACACUGAAAUUGGAACGAUACGGAGAAGAUUAGCAUGGCCCCUGUGCAGGGAUGAUGAGCAAAUUCAUGAAGCUUUUCAUAUUAAA